GAUGAAGAACGUAGCGAAAUGCGAUAAGUAAUGUGAAUUGCAGAAUUCAGUGAAUCAUCGAAUCUUUGAACGCACAUUGCGCCCCUUGGUAUUCCGGGGGGCAUGCCUGUUCGAGCGUCAUUAUCACCCCUCAAGCUCAGCUUGGUGUUGGGGCCUGCCGUCAAGGCAGCCCUUAAAAUCAGUGGCGGCGCCAUCUGGCUCUAAGCGUAGUAAUACUUCUCGCUACAGGGUCCCCGUGGUGUCUUGCCAGAACCCCUCAUUUUUUAUGAUUGACCUCGGAUCAGGUAGGGAUACCCGCUGAACUUAAGCAUAUCAAUAAGCGGAGGA
Molecule: unclassified non-coding RNA, 327 nt
Filed under: soil metagenome
Description: partial contains 5.8S ribosomal RNA, internal transcribed spacer 2, and large subunit ribosomal RNA
Rfam family: 5.8S ribosomal RNA (bases 1-120)
Source: RNAcentral